GGGGGGGUGACCGAGUGGCUGAAGGUGCUCGCCUGCUAAGCGAGUGUGCGCUAACCGCGUACCGAGGGUUCGAAUCCCUCCCCCUCCG
RNAcentral lists this transfer RNA (88 nucleotides) under bacterium. RNAcentral describes it as "tRNA-Ser". It matches the Rfam family "tRNA". From Rfam's summary of the family: Transfer RNA (tRNA) molecules are approximately 80 nucleotides in length. Their secondary structure includes four short double-helical elements and three loops (D, anti-codon, and T loops). The record is from RNAcentral.